This 498-nucleotide ribosomal RNA is filed under the name uncultured bacterium. Its description in RNAcentral is "partial 16S ribosomal RNA". It matches the Rfam family "Bacterial small subunit ribosomal RNA", at positions 27 to 507 of the family's 1533-position model. The record is from RNAcentral.
GGACGAACGCUGGCGGCGUGCCUAAUCCAUGCAAGUUGAGCGCUGAAGGUUGGUACUUGUACCAACUGGAUGAGCAGCGAACGGGUGAGUAACGCGUGGGGAAUCUGCCUUUGAGCGGGGGACAACAUUUGGAAACGAAUGCUAAUACCGCAUAAAAACUUUAAACACAAGUUUUAAGUUUGAAAGAUGCAAUUGCAUCACUCAAAGAUGAUCCCGCGUUGUAUUAGCUAGUUGGUGAGGUAAAGGCUCACCAAGGCGAUGAUACAUAGCCGACCUGAGAGGGUGAUCGGCCACAUUGGGACUGAGACACGGCCCAAACUCCUACGGGAGGCAGCAGUAGGGAAUCUUCGGCAAUGGACGAAAGUCUGACCGAGCAACGCCGCGUGAGUGAGGAAGGUUUUCGGAUCGUAAAACUCUGUUGGUAGAGAAGAACGUUGGUGAGAGUGGAAAGCUCAUCAAGUGACGGUAACUACCCAGAAAGGGACGGCUAACUACGUG